RNAcentral lists this ribosomal RNA (446 nucleotides) under uncultured bacterium. Its description in RNAcentral is "partial 16S ribosomal RNA". It matches the Rfam family "Bacterial small subunit ribosomal RNA", at positions 338 to 795 of the family's 1533-position model. The record is from RNAcentral.
CCUACGGGUGACAGCAGUCGAGAAUCAUUCACAAUGGGGGAAACCCUGAUGGUGCGACGCCGCGUGGGGAAAUGAAGGUCUUCGGAUUGUAAACCCCUGUCAUGUGGGAGCAAAUUAAAAAGAUAGUACCACAAGAGGAAGAGACGGCUAACUCUGUGCCAGCAGCCGCGGUAAUACAGAGGUCUCAAGCGUUGUUCGGAAUCACUGGGCGUAAAGCGUGCGUAGGCAGUUUCGUAAUGCGUGUGUGAAAGGGGCGGGCUCAACCCGCGGACGGCACAUGAUACUGCGAGACUAGAGUAAUGGAGGGGGAACCGGAAUGCUCGGUGUAGCAGUGAAAUGCGUAGAUAUCGAGAGGAACACUCGUGGCGAAGGCGGGUUCCUGGACAUUAACUGACGCUGAGGCACGAAGGCCAGGGGAGCGAAAGGGAUUAGAUACCCUUGUAGUC